This 1593-nucleotide long non-coding RNA is filed under the name Anas platyrhynchos platyrhynchos (common mallard). RNAcentral's name for it is "lncRNA (ENSAPLG00000031074.1)". Lineage: Eukaryota; Metazoa; Chordata; Aves; Anseriformes; Anatidae. The record is from RNAcentral.
CUAGGCCGUGCUGCCCUAAGCUUUGUGCAGCCUGGCUUGAACACCUCCAGGGAUGGGGCAUUCACGGCUUCUCCGGGUAACUUGUUCAACUCCCUCACCACCUUCAGAGUCAUGAAUUUCUUCCUAAUAUCUAAUUUAAAUCUACCCUCCUUUAGUUUAAAGACAUAACUCCUUGACCUAUCACUACACCCCCUGACAGAGACCCCCCAGCUUUCCUGUAGGCCCCUUCUAGGUACUGGAAAACCACUGUAAGGUCUCCCCGGAGCCUUCCCCUUCUCCAGGCUGAGCAACCCCAGCUCCCUCAGCCUGUCCUCACAGGAGAGGUGCUCCAGCCCCUUGAUCAGCCCCGUGGCCUUCCCCUGGCCUCGCUCCAGCAGCUCCACGUCCCCCCCGCGCUGGGGCCCCCACUGAACGCAGCACCCUCCAGGUGGGACCCUCGCGAGUAGCGGGGGCCCGGCUCCUUUUCGGAGGGGCUGUUCCCCCUGCUCUCCGUUUCUUAUUGAAGGGGAUCAGCGGGGUCGCCUCGCCCCUCUCGCAGCCCCCGGGGCCGCGCAGAGCCCUGAGGAGGCGGCGGCUCCGCGCCGGCCGCCCGCGGGGGGGCGGCGGCCGAUGCUCGGCGGCCGAUGCUGGGCGGGCUGUGCGCUCACUAGUGGGAGCUGGAGAGGGCGAGAGGAGGGGAACGGCAGCAAAAAAAUAAAUAAAUCCCAAACCCAAGUGGAGCGGCUGAGGCGGGCGGCGGCCGCGGGGAGCCCCGGGAUGGAAAGUCGUGGGUGCGUCAUUUAGAUCAAGGUGCCUGACCGGAGUGUGCAGCAGCUCACGUGCAAGGGACAGACCGGUGCCCACAAUGACCUUGUUACCAGCACAGUGUGAGUGUGACCAGAUUGCAUCUGUAACCUCAGUGGUGAAACUUCUGUUGGUAUCAGCUGUCCUUGCUAGUCCUGGCUUAAUAGGUUAUCACUGUGAGGAAUGCCUCCCAACUCCUCUUUGACAGUUUCAUGGACUGCGUGUUAGAGAACAGCCUGUGCACAGCAGGAGUUAGCUGGAAUCUUUUUUCUCUCUCUUGGCAUGGUAGAACCAACAGCAGCAUUCACUUGUGCCCAUUGUUUGAGGCAAGAAGAAUUAUAUGCAAACUAAUACAUUCUGCUUCUUCAUGAGGAGCAGAGAGAAGCCUCAUUUAUCCCCCAUGGCAUAGAGACCGGUCAUGUGGGCUUUAUUUCUAUAGUUUUCCUUUUCUGAUUGAGGCACUCACGCUUCGUUCUGAUCUGCUUUUAAAGGUAAUACUUAGGCAAGUUGCAUCUCUGAACAUGUUUUAGUGUGUUUUCCAUUAAAUGUAUAUUCUGUGACUACGACAGUUUUUGGCAUUUGCAAAGCCUGUGAACUGUGCCCGUGGAAGCCCUCUUGGUUCUUUGGGCAGUACCAUUUCAUUGUGAAGUUAUCUUUAAAGCUGCAAUAUUUGUUUUUCCAUAGGGGUCCAUGCAAUACUGUAAUUGUCCAGGAAGCAGGACCUCAUACUACUGAGAAUGCGAUUCAUGUUGAGUGAGAACUUAAGAGUUUCUCAAUAAACUCUGUCUGCCUUUAGUAUUAAGUUUUUUU